This 148-nucleotide non-coding RNA is filed under the name Pan troglodytes (chimpanzee). The record is from Rfam by way of RNAcentral. Lineage: Eukaryota; Metazoa; Chordata; Mammalia; Primates; Hominidae.
GCUGGGUGUGGUGGCUCACACCUGUAAUCCCAGCUACCUGGGAGGCUGAGGCAGGGGAAUUGCUUGAACAUGGGAGGUGGAGUUUGCAGUGAGCUGAGAUUGCACCACUGCACUCUAGCCUGGGUGACAGAGCAAGACUCUGUCUCAA